Molecule: unclassified non-coding RNA, 208 nt
Filed under: Hevea brasiliensis (rubber tree)
Lineage: Eukaryota; Viridiplantae; Streptophyta; Magnoliopsida; Malpighiales; Euphorbiaceae
Source: RNAcentral
GCUUAUUCCCCACCAACGUCCGUCACAAGGGUUGUUUCCAGACCAUGAUUCAACAAGCCUAGAAGGAUAAUUCACCCCAUCAAGAAACUCUAAAAGUGCCAUAACCUCAGGGGCACAUACUGCUCCUUGUUUGGUUUGACAAAAAGAGUUGGACAUAAAACUAACAUUAGUAGCCUUGAACUUAGGAACUGGUCCCAUAAAAUGAUUA